RNAcentral lists this ribosomal RNA (498 nucleotides) under uncultured bacterium. RNAcentral's name for it is "bacterial SSU rRNA". It matches the Rfam family "Bacterial small subunit ribosomal RNA", at positions 24 to 518 of the family's 1533-position model. The record is from RNAcentral.
UCAGGAUGAACGCUGGCGGCGUGCCUAAUACAUGCAAGUCGAACGAGGUAGCAAUACCGAGUGGCGAACGGGUGAGUAACACGUAGGUAACCUGCCCUUAAGCUUGGGAUACCCAGAGGAAACUUUGGCUAAUACCGGAUAACAACAGAGAAGGCAUCUUCUUUGCUUGAAAGGCCCUUCAAGGGUCACUUAAGGAUGGACCUGCGGCGCAUUAGCUAGUUGGUGAGAUAACAGCCCACCAAGGCGAGGAUGCGUAGCCGAACUGAGAGGUUGAUCGGCCACAUUGGAACUGAGACACGGUCCAAACUCCUACGGGAGGCAGCAGUAAGGAGUUUUCGGCAAUGGGGGAAACCCUGACCGAGCAACGCCGCGUGAGCGAUGACGGCCCUAUUGGGUUGUAAAGCUCUGUUGUAAGCCAUGAAUGGUAGCUUGAGGAAAUGCAAGCUAUUUGACGACAGCUUACCAGAAAGCCACGGCUAACUACGUGCCAGCCGCCGC